ACCGUCGACAAUCAGGCAACGAGCGAGACCCCUGCGUCUAGUUGCUACCAUUACUCUCUGGAGCAGUGGAGCGAAUUAGACGGAUCGCCACAGUUAAUGUGGAGGAAGGAAGGGGCCACGGCAGGUCAGUAUGCCCCGAAACCCUAGGGCUACACGCGGGCUGCAAUGGUAUUGACAAUGUGUUCCGAAUCCGAAAGGAGGAGGCAAUCAUCAAACAAUAUCUCAGUUAUGACUGAGGGCUGUAACUCGCCCUCACGAAUAUGGAAUCCCUAGUAACCGCGCGUCACUACCGCGCGGUGAAUACGUCCCUGCUCCUUGCACGAAUUCGCCG
RNAcentral lists this ribosomal RNA (331 nucleotides) under uncultured Thermoprotei archaeon. RNAcentral describes it as "bacterial SSU rRNA". It matches the Rfam family "Archaeal small subunit ribosomal RNA", at positions 1023 to 1352 of the family's 1478-position model. Lineage: Archaea; Thermoproteati; Thermoproteota; Thermoprotei. The record is from RNAcentral.